UACGGAAGGCAGCAGUGGGGAAUAUUGCACAAUGGGCGAAAGCCUGAUGCAGCUAUGCCGCGUGUAUGAAGAAGGCCUUAGGGUUGUAAAGUACUUUCAUCGGGGAGGAAAAACAAAACUAAUAAUUUUAUUUCUUGACGUUACCCGAAAAAGAAGCACCGGCUAACUCCGUGCCAGCAGCCGCGGUAAUACAGAGGGUGCGAGCGUUAAUCGGAUUUACUGGGCGUAAAGCGUGCGUAGGCGGCUGAUUAAGUCGGAUGUGAAAUCCCUGAGCUUAACUUAGGAAUUGCAUUCGAUACUGGUCAGCUAGAGUAUGGGAGAGGAUGGUAGAAUUCCAGGUGUAGCGGUGAAAUGCGUAGAGAUCUGGAGGAAUACCGAUGGCGAAGGCAGCCAUCUGGGCCUAAUACUGACGCUGAGGUACGAAAGCAUGGGGAGCAAACAGGAUUAGAAUACC
RNAcentral lists this ribosomal RNA (454 nucleotides) under uncultured bacterium. RNAcentral describes it as "bacterial SSU rRNA". It matches the Rfam family "Bacterial small subunit ribosomal RNA", at positions 340 to 787 of the family's 1533-position model. The record is from RNAcentral.